AGUGAACGCUGGCGGUAGGCCUAACGCAUGCAAGUCGAACGGCAGCACAGUAAGAGCUUGCUCUUACGGGUGGCGAGUGGCGGACGGGUGAGGAAUACAUCGGAAUCUACUUUUUCGUGGGGGAUAACGUAGGGAAACUUACGCUAAUACCGCAUACGACCUACGGGUGAAAGCAGGGGAUCUUCGGACCUUGCGCGAUUGAAUGAGCCGAUGUCGGAUUAGCUAGUUGGCGGGGUAAAGGCCCACCAAGGCGACGAUCCGUAGCUGGUCUGAGAGGAUGAUCAGCCACACUGAACUGAGACACGGUCCAGACUCCUACGGGAGGCAGCAGUGGGGAAUAUUGGACAAUGGGCGCAAGCCUGAUCCAGCCAUACCGCGUGGGUGAAGAAGGCCUUCGGGUUGUAAAGCCCUUUUGUUGGGAAAGAAAAGCAGCAGGUUAAUACCCCGCUGUUCUGACGGUACCCAAAGAAUAAGCACCGGCUAACUUCGUG
This 491-nucleotide ribosomal RNA is filed under the name uncultured bacterium. RNAcentral describes it as "partial 16S ribosomal RNA". It matches the Rfam family "Bacterial small subunit ribosomal RNA", at positions 29 to 507 of the family's 1533-position model. The record is from RNAcentral.